This 76-nucleotide transfer RNA is filed under the name Gammaproteobacteria bacterium. RNAcentral describes it as "tRNA-Phe". It matches the Rfam family "tRNA". Rfam says of the family: Transfer RNA (tRNA) molecules are approximately 80 nucleotides in length. Their secondary structure includes four short double-helical elements and three loops (D, anti-codon, and T loops). Lineage: Bacteria; Pseudomonadati; Pseudomonadota; Gammaproteobacteria. RNAcentral also lists the same sequence under 5 other names. The record is from RNAcentral.
GGCUAGGUAGCUCAGUUGGUAGAGCAGGUGACUGAAAAUCACCGUGUCGGCGGUUCGAUUCCGUCCCUGGCCACCA